This is a long non-coding RNA of Triticum aestivum (bread wheat), 1234 nucleotides long. RefSeq lists it as uncharacterized. The transcript has 3 exons. The record is from RefSeq and is a predicted model, not a curated record. Lineage: Eukaryota; Viridiplantae; Streptophyta; Magnoliopsida; Poales; Poaceae.
UAAGUUUAAGAUUCAAAUUAGUGAGGUGAUUUGCAUGGACAACUGGUGGUACAAAAGUUGCAAGGAUUGCUGAAAAAAGGUUCAAGCAUAGGGAGACACUUAUUACAAAAACUUGCAUCUCAUAGUUACUCCACACAAGUAACACACACAAAAGUACAGGAUAUGUACAGUUACACACAUCCCCCCUACUGUUAUGCGUGUAUGUCUCAUAGUUAGACAUUAAUAUGUAUGCUAAACUUUGUUAGUAGUGUACUAAUUGCUUGAUUUAUUCAAAACAAGAUAACUAUACAGAUGGUGUACAGGUUAAUCAUGAAAAUAUACAUCGAAUUCUGUUACCUUUUUAAGUUGAUUGCCAAUUAUGGAAGGGCCACUUUUAUAGGAUGUAACUAAGCAGUCAUACACAGGGAUGUUCAUAGUUUGAUUUGUAAGAGUAUGGGAAGUGACAAAAUUGACUUGGUGUUGUUGGAGCAUCAAGUUGUUACCCUACAUAUGUCAUGUUCCAUAUAACGAGAAGAGAACACAUUUUUUGUGUUUGUUUUAAACUGGCACUACCAUUUACAUUAUGUAAUAUCCGUAUCUACUAUGUAUCCAUUUAUUUAGGGGGGAACAAUGGAAGAACUGGUACCAGAAAGAAGACUGAUGCAAUUUAAGGAUCAGCUAACAAAGGGUUGCAUAAACACACAGUUGAAAACUUCAGCUUAUAUGAUGCUAGACAAAGCUCAGGCGUUUGGAUCACCUCUUAGGCUAUGCUUUACAUACCAGACCAGGGGUGAACAAAAUAGUACCCCAGCAAGAAAAUUUUCCACUGUUUCCUCACAAUGCGCCUUGCUGGAGGCUUGAGCAGAGCAGAACACUAUACUUUCAGAUGUUUAUUGGAUUUACUGUUGAAGUUACCGACAUGUAAACAACUUCAUCUAGCAGUCAAAAGGAGACACACAAUGUCUACAUAAGACAGCGGUCGUGUGCUGUGGUCAUGCUCUGGGGAGCACAUGCCCUUGCUGUCCAAGCUACUGGAUUACGGGAUGCCUCUGUAGAGAGCCACAGGUAGCACUCUUUGUUGGCGUUACUGUAGGUCAUUUCUUAGGUGGGUCAUUUUUGCUCUACUAAGGAUGGAUUUAUUACUUCUUUGUUGAUUGUCAGCUCACGCUGUGUCGAUCUGUCUUACACCACAUGCUUGCUUGCAUUUAAAUUAUUGUGAGCUACCAAAUGGUACAUUAAUGUUCCUACUCCAGAA